CGUCGGCGCAUUCUUGGCUCAUGUUUUGUGUGUUUUUNGCAGCUCACGAAUCUAACCCUAACAAAUCAUUUUCUUUAGUUNNNNNNNUGGUGACCCCGCAUGUUUACCGCUGUUUUGUGGUUGGUUUUCAGCGAAUCCUGGGGUCUUCGGUUGUGCGUUUCGUGGUUUUAAAAAAGCUAGCUCUGUGUUUCAGGAAUGCGUCCAUGUUUGGUUUAUCUCGACUUGGGUGUCGUUCUCUCGAUCACGCUCCUCGGGGCCACAUCGAUCCCUUGCUCAUUGCUAAGGAUGUCGAUGUGAAGGGUUCGUCCCUGCCGAUCGAUGGNAUCCCGUACGGACAACCUCGAGAGGCCAAUACGAGUAAUGGGAAUACACGAUUGUUUGCGGCCUUCUUGAAAUGUGGAAUGGACUGC
Molecule: non-coding RNA, 410 nt
Filed under: Eptatretus atami
Lineage: Eukaryota; Metazoa; Chordata; Myxini; Myxiniformes; Myxinidae
Source: RNAcentral